UGAGUCGGCCGGGUGGCCGCGUGCGGGCGACGCCUCCCUUCCGGGAGGCCGAGACCCGUCCGAGGAACGUCCGGACUCCACAGGGCACGGUGCUGGGUAACACCCAGUCGGGGCGACCCGCAGGAAAGUGCAACAGAGAGCAGACCGCCGAUGGCGGGCCGCGAGGUCCGCACAGGCAAGGGUGCAACGGUGCGGUAAGAGCGCACCAGCGCCCGGGGUGACCCGGGCGGCUCGGUAAACCCCACCGGGAGCAAGGCCAGACAGGGAGUGAGCGGCCCGCUCGACACUCCCGGGUAGGCCGCAGGAGCCGGCGGGCAACCGUCGGCCGAGAUGGAUGGCUACCCAGGGCGGUUCCGCGGAACCGCCUGGACAGAAUCCGGCGUACAGGCCGACUCACCAC
This 400-nucleotide RNase P RNA is filed under the name Actinomycetota bacterium. RNAcentral's name for it is "Actinobacteria bacterium (freshwater metagenome) RNase P RNA component class A". It matches the Rfam family "Bacterial RNase P class A". From Rfam's summary of the family: Ribonuclease P (RNase P) is a ubiquitous endoribonuclease, found in archaea, bacteria and eukarya as well as chloroplasts and mitochondria. Its best characterised activity is the generation of mature 5'-ends of tRNAs by cleaving the 5'-leader elements of precursor-tRNAs. The record is from RNAcentral. Lineage: Bacteria; Bacillati; Actinomycetota.